UUCCAACUGUAUCUACCCUGAAAAGGCCAGUGCUCCACUUAGUCAGCUCAGUCCCCAGGCAAAGGGCUAAGAGAGAGGCAUCUCUGAGACUGGGGCCACUGGAAUAGGCUGGCGAUGUCUCCACUGCCUGGCGUUCAGCCUGGUCUCUUCCCGGCUUUUUUGCUUUUUUCCCGGUGCCAUCUUCUUCCAUUGUUCGUUUUUGCCCCGACCCUGGCUUCAAAGAGCAUUAUUUACUGAGGUGAGUGCAACUAAAAGUUUGAAUGGCAUUUCAAAGGAAUUCAAAGCAGUUGCUCUUGAAUGGCUCCAGGUGAAUAGCUUCACCUAGUGAAUAGUUCCAAGAAGAGUUUGUUUCUUUUCUCUAACCUUUUUAUUUCUUCUCUCCCUCUGACUUUCAAUCACUGAAGAAGAAUAAAGAGAGGACCAAACUGAAGUGAGCACAAGAGGAAAAAGGCAUGAGUGAGGAGACAGCUGGAAAAGCAGGCAUUUUUAAGAACUGGAAAAGUAGUAAUUACAAUAAAAUAUGGCAACAAGUUCUCUCCCAUAAAUACCCCAGAUGGUGGAGAAAGAAUUUCAUAAGCAGAGGUAUAUAUGCUAACAGGUAAGUAAGAAGUAGUAAUGGGAAAGCAAUAUAGAAUACUUGGAUUUUAAAAUAAUGAUUAAAAAACAAUACAUGAACCUUAUCCCAUAAUUAUGUCAAAGAAAGAAGGUAAUGCUUGGCAAACUAAUUUACUCUUGAUUCAUUCACUGAACAU
Molecule: long non-coding RNA, 752 nt
Filed under: Calidris pugnax (ruff)
Lineage: Eukaryota; Metazoa; Chordata; Aves; Charadriiformes; Scolopacidae
Description: lncRNA (ENSCPUG00000003810.1)
Source: RNAcentral